Molecule: ribosomal RNA, 496 nt
Filed under: uncultured bacterium
Lineage: Bacteria
Description: partial 16S ribosomal RNA
Rfam family: Bacterial small subunit ribosomal RNA
Source: RNAcentral
AUGAACGCUGGCGGCGUGCCUAAUACAUGCAAGUCGAGCGAACAGACGAGGAGCUUGCUCCUCUGACGUUAGCGGCGGACGGGUGAGUAACACGUGGAUAACCUACCUAUAAGACUGGGAUAACUUCGGGAAACCGGAGCUAAUACCGGAUAAUAUAUUGAACCGCAUGGUUCAAUAGUGAAAGACGGUUUUGCUGUCACUUAUAGAUGGAUCCGCGCCGCAUUAGCUAGUUGGUAAGGUAACGGCUUACCAAGGCGACGAUGCGUAGCCGACCUGAGAGGGUGAUCAGCCACACUGGAACUGAGACACGGUCCAGACUCCUGCGGGAGGCAGCAGUAGGGAAUCUUCCGCAAUGGGCGAAAGCUUGACGGAGCAACGCCGCGUGAGUGAUGAAGGUCUUCGGAUCGUAAAACUCUGUUAUUAGGGAAGAACAAAUGUGUAAGUAACUAUGCACGUCUUGACGGUACCUAAUCAGAAAGCCACGGCUAACUACGUG